This 548-nucleotide ribosomal RNA is filed under the name uncultured Glomeromycotina. RNAcentral describes it as "SSU rRNA". It matches the Rfam family "Eukaryotic small subunit ribosomal RNA", at positions 548 to 1098 of the family's 1831-position model. The record is from RNAcentral. Lineage: Eukaryota; Fungi; Glomeromycota.
UUGGAGGGCAAGUCUGGUGCCAGCAGCCGCGGUAAUUCCAGCUCCAAUAGCGUAUAUUAAAGUUGUUGCAGUUAAAAAGCUCGUAGUUGAAUUUCGGGAUCAGUACGUUGGUCGUGCCUUAGGUACGUACUGGUGUUACUGGUUCCUACCUUCUGACGAACCAUCAUGUCAUUCAUUUGGUGUGGCGGGGAAUCAGGACUGUUACUUUGAAAAAAUUAGAGUGUUUAGAGCAGGCUCGCGCUUGAAUACAUUAGCAUGGAAUAAUGAAAUAGGACGUUGAUCCUAUUUUGUUGGUUUCUAGGAUUGACGUAAUGAUUAAUAGGGAUAGUUGGGGGCAUUAGUAUUCAAUUGUCAGAGGUGAAAUUCUUGGAUUUAUUGAAGACUAACUACUGCGAAAGCAUUUGCCAAGGAUGUUUUCAUUAAUCAAGAACGAAAGUUAGGGGAUCGAAGACGAUCAGAUACCGUCGUAGUCUUAACCAUAAACUAUGCCGACUAGGGAUCGGAUGAUGUUAAUUUUUUAAUGACUCAUUCGGCGCCUUACGGGAAAC